Molecule: ribosomal RNA, 486 nt
Filed under: uncultured bacterium
Lineage: Bacteria
Description: bacterial SSU rRNA
Rfam family: Bacterial small subunit ribosomal RNA
Source: RNAcentral
UUGGGUUGUAAACCUCUUUUCUCAGGGAAGAAGCUCUGACGGUACCUGAGGAAUCAGCCUCGGCUAACUCCGUGCCAGCAGCCGCGGUAAUACGGAGGAGGCAAGCGUUAUCCGGAAUUAUUGGGCGUAAAGCGUCCGCAGGUGGCAAUUCAAGUCUGCUGUCAAAGCACGGGGCUUAACUCCGUUAAGGCAGUGGAAACUGAAUAGCUAGAGUGCCGUAGGGGUAGAGGGAAUUCCCGGUGUAGCGGUGAAAUGCGUAGAGAUCGGGAAGAACAUCGGUGGCGAAAGCGCUCUACUGGACGGCAACUGACACUCAGGGACGAAAGCUAGGGGAGCGAAUGGGAUUAGAUACCCCAGUAGUCCUAGCUGUAAACGAUGGAUACUAGGUGUAGCUUGUAUCGACCCGAGCUGUGCCGAAGCUAACGCGUUUAAGUAUCCCGCCUGGGGAGUACGCACGCAAGUGUGAAACUCAAAAGGAAUUGACGG